This 451-nucleotide ribosomal RNA is filed under the name uncultured bacterium. RNAcentral's name for it is "partial 16S ribosomal RNA". It matches the Rfam family "Bacterial small subunit ribosomal RNA", at positions 29 to 523 of the family's 1533-position model. The record is from RNAcentral.
AGCGAACAUUGGCGGUAGGCUUAACACAUGCAAGUCGAGCGAGGCGAAAUAGUCGAGCGGCGAACGGGUGCGUAAUACAUGGGAAUCUACCCUGAAGUGGGGGUUAACGUUCAGAAAUGGACGCUAAUACCGCAUAAUCCACAUUGAGAACACGUAGCAGCGCUGUAGGAUGAGCCCAUGGCUGGUUAGCUAGUUGGUGAGGUAAUGGCUCACCAAGGCGACGAUCAGUAGCUGGUCUGAGAGGAUGACCAGCCACACUGGAGCUGAGACACGGUCCAGACUCCUACGUGAGGCAGCAGUGGGGAAUCUUGCGCAAUGGGGGCAACCCUGACGCAGCCAUACCGCGUGAGUGAUGAAGGUCUUCGGAUUGUAAAGCUCUUUCGGCGGGGACGACGAUGACGGUACCCGCAAAAGAAGUCACGGCUAACUUCGUGCCAGCCGCCGCCGGUAA